Molecule: long non-coding RNA, 442 nt
Filed under: Dromaius novaehollandiae (emu)
Lineage: Eukaryota; Metazoa; Chordata; Aves; Casuariiformes; Dromaiidae
Description: lncRNA (ENSDNVG00000002332.1)
Source: RNAcentral
GGUAUUUCUGUUAUUAUUGGCUCUAGUUUUAUUCUCUGGAGAUCAUGUUGAAUUGUGGGGAUUGAAAUGAAACUGGUGGAUUUGCCUACUGCCUAAAUAUUUUAUAUCRUCAAAAACACACAGCCCACCUUGUUGUGAGAGGAAGUCGGUGUUCAGAACAAAAAGAUUUGAAGAGACUGAAAAAGUAGGGAUUUAUGGCAGAGCACCAAAGUGAAGGAUUUGCUGACAUUUUGGCUGUUUCAUUGCCAGAGGAGGCUUUGUGUGUCCCAAAGGAAGUGAGUGAUCUGGCCAUAACAAAUCCUGCCAAAAUAUUUUAACACCGUUACGAUUUCCUAAUGCAAUGCGUAGUGAAUGUGACUAGGAAAGGAUGGUGAGUCCGUGACGGGGAUUUGUUCCCUCUCGCGUGCAGUUGCCCGGYAGAACGAGCACCGAUGAGCCCUGG